GGGUGGGUGAGUGUUUGUUACUAGGACUGUGUCCUUAAGGAGGAGCCUCUGGUUUGUGAAUGUAGGUUUCUACUAGGUGGUGUCCUAGUGCUUAUUUCUUAUUUCGAAUUGCUCGUACUUCUCUGAUAAUUAUCUCUAUUAUGUCUUAUUUUUGUAUGCCAUCUUUUCCUGUUAUAUGUUUCUUUACGAGCUUGGUGUACUAUUCUUCGUCUUGAGCCGGCGGUCUAUCGGAAACAACCUCUCU
RNAcentral lists this long non-coding RNA (244 nucleotides) under Capsicum annuum. RNAcentral's name for it is "long non-coding RNA (CANN_LNC008640)". The record is from RNAcentral. Lineage: Eukaryota; Viridiplantae; Streptophyta; Magnoliopsida; Solanales; Solanaceae.